Molecule: ribosomal RNA, 439 nt
Filed under: uncultured bacterium
Lineage: Bacteria
Description: partial 16S ribosomal RNA
Rfam family: Bacterial small subunit ribosomal RNA
Source: RNAcentral
CUACGGGCCGCUGCAGUGAGGAAUAUUGCACAAUGGGGGGAACCCUGAUGCAGCAACGCCGCGUGGAGGAUGACGCAUUUCGGUGUGUAAACUCCUUUUAUCUGUCAAGAAAAUGACGGUAGCAUAUGAAUAAGCACCGGCUAACUCCGUGCCAGCAGCCGCGGUAAUACGGAGGGUGCAAGCGUUACUCGGAAUCACUGGGCGUAAAGGACGCGUAGGCGGGUUGGAAAGUCAGGUGUGAAAUCCUACAGCUUAACUGUAGAACUGCACUUGAAACUUCUAAUCUAGAGUAUGGGAGGGGGAGAUGGAAUUAGUGGUGUAGGGGUAAGAUCCGUAGAUAUCACUAGGAGUACCUAAAGCGAAGGCGAUCUCCUGGAACAUUACUGACGCUAAGGCGUGAAAGCGUGGGGAGCAAACAGGAUUAGAUACCCUUGUAGUC